This is a small nuclear RNA of Octodon degus (degu), 161 nucleotides long. Its record names the gene U1. It matches the Rfam family "U1 spliceosomal RNA". Rfam says of the family: U1 is a small nuclear RNA (snRNA) component of the spliceosome (involved in pre-mRNA splicing). Its 5' end forms complementary base pairs with the 5' splice junction, thus defining the 5' donor site of an intron. NCBI's taxonomy places the organism in Eukaryota, Metazoa, Chordata, Mammalia, Rodentia, Octodontidae. The record is from Ensembl.
CUAUCUCCCCAGCCCCGAGAUCAGGAGCAUGAGGGUGGUUUUCCCAGGGCGAGGCUCAUUCAUUGCUCUCUGCUUGUGCUGACUGCUGGGACUUCCCCAAAUGUGGGAAACUCGGUUACAUAAUUUGUGAUAUUGGGGGACUGUGUUCCUGCUGUCCCCUC